Erinaceus europaeus (western European hedgehog) is the source of this 319-nucleotide non-coding RNA. Lineage: Eukaryota; Metazoa; Chordata; Mammalia; Eulipotyphla; Erinaceidae. The record is from Rfam.
AAGUUUGAGGGCCAUCUGCUGUAGCAUCUGUCACUCCACUGAUUACUAGGGUUGAUCUGGCUGACCUGGCUGGUUAGGCAGGUGUCCCCUUCCUCUCUCACGUCAUAAUGUCCCUCCAAAAUCUGCAUGCUCAGUCUAAGAGGACAACCUUCUACAAAUAGAGAUGAACACGUCUUCAGCUGAGUGUAUACAAGAAACAGCACGUCUCUGCUAGAACCUCCAAACAAGAUCUCAAAAUCAAAGAGGUUAAGAAUUAAAGCAGUGCUGCUAUGGCAUAGGUAUAUCCAGAUCUCAUUGAAUAGAUAUAUUUGUUUCCUUA